Tachyglossus aculeatus (Australian echidna) is the source of this 139-nucleotide small nucleolar RNA. The record is from RefSeq and is a predicted model, not a curated record. NCBI's taxonomy places the organism in Eukaryota, Metazoa, Chordata, Mammalia, Monotremata, Tachyglossidae.
CCCCACACAGGAUCACACCCUGGAGCGUUUCCAGUACUCUACCAGUCUUGGCUACUGGAGGGAGAGUCAAGCAGAGGCCUACCCAUUCCAUUCCUAGCAUGGGCAGUGGCUAGUGAAUGGAAGGUAAUCUGCUACAAGU